Hemicordylus capensis (graceful crag lizard) is the source of this 414-nucleotide long non-coding RNA. RefSeq lists it as uncharacterized. The transcript has 4 exons. The record is from RefSeq and is a predicted model, not a curated record. NCBI's taxonomy places the organism in Eukaryota, Metazoa, Chordata, Lepidosauria, Squamata, Cordylidae.
CUUCAGGGGGAUGCUGCGGUGGCUGAGGAGGGGUGUUUCCGGUGGCUCCCUCUCCCCUCGCCAGCCUCCCCCCGAGGUCACCACAGCGCUCCCUGAGGCUGCCAAAGCCCUAGGCAGUGUUCUGGAGGCAGAAGAGCACACCUCCUGCCAGUGCCAGCCUGGGCCAAACAUGGAGGAAAGAAGGCCUGCAAUAUCUUGACAAAGACGACACAGGACUCCAAGUCUCUUGGAAGAAUCCUGUGGACGAUACUGUUUGGCGUGGAGUUGUUUUCUUCCAGGCCCAUAUGGGAACAUUCUUAAUAUGCCAGGGACAGGAAAGGAGGCAAAAGACUGGAUUAAAAAAAAAAAAGAUAAAAAUGAAAACCUCACCUGCGGAUAAAUCCACCGCUGAUGGCCAUCUGUUCUCGUUCAUCC